This 794-nucleotide ribosomal RNA is filed under the name uncultured Corynebacterium sp. RNAcentral describes it as "bacterial SSU rRNA". It matches the Rfam family "Bacterial small subunit ribosomal RNA", at positions 12 to 792 of the family's 1533-position model. Lineage: Bacteria; Bacillati; Actinomycetota; Actinomycetes; Mycobacteriales; Corynebacteriaceae. The record is from RNAcentral.
UUUGAUCCUGGCUCAGGACGAACGCUGGCGGCGUGCUUAACACAUGCAAGUCGAACGGAAAGGCCUGCUUUCCCUUGUGGAUUGCGGGUGCUCGAGUGGCGAACGGGUGAGUAACACGUGAGUAUCUGCCCCCAACUUGGGUAUAAGCCUGGGAAACUGGGUCUAAUUCCCGAUAGGACUGCAGGGUGGUGCCUGUGGUGGAAAACGAUUUUUUAGUGGUUGGGGAUGAGCUCGCGGCCUAUCAGCUUGUUGGUGGGGUAAUGGCCUACCAAGGCGGCGACGGGUAGCCGGCCUGAGAGGGUGGACGGCCACAUUGGGACUGAGAUACGGCCCAGACUCCUACGGGAGGCAGCAGUGGGGAAUAUUGCACAAUGGGCGGAAGCCUGAUGCAGCGACGCCGCGUGGGGGAUGACGGCCUUCGGGUUGUAAACUCCUUUCGACCGCGAGGAAGCCACCUGGUUGGAAGGGUGGUGACGGUAGUGGUAGAAGAAGCACCGGCUAACUACGUGCCAGCAGCCGCGGUAAUACGUAGGGUGCGAGCGUUGUCCGGAUUUACUGGGCGUAAAGAGCUCGUAGGUGGCUUGUCGCGUCGUCUGUGAAAGUCUGGGGCUUAACUCCGGGUGUGCAGGCGAUACGGGCUGGCUUGAGUGCUGUAGGGGAGACUGGAAUUCCUGGUGUAGCGGUGGAAUGCGCAGAUAUCAGGAGGAACACCGAUGGCGAAGGCAGGUCUCUGGGCAGCCACUGACGCUGAGGAGCGAGAGCAUGGGUAGCGAACAGGAUUGGAUACCCUGGUA